UACACGCUGUGACUAGCAUAUCAAUAAGCGGAGGAAAAGAAACUAACAAGGAUUCCCCUAGUAACGGCGAGCUGAAGCGGGAAGAGCUCAAGUUUGAAAUCUUAAAGGGUUUCCCUUUACGAAUUGUAGUUUAAAGAAGUGUUUUCUGUUGAGGUUUUAGGUAAAAGUUCUUUGGAAUAGGACAUCAUAGAGGGUGAGAAUCCCGUAUUUGACCUUUACUUUCAACUUUGUGAUACACUUUCAAAGAGUCGGAUUGUUUGGGAAUGCAGUCCAAAAUGGGUGGUAAAUUUCAUCUAAAGCUAAAUAUUGGCGAGAGACCGAUAGCGAACAAGUACCGUGAGGGAAAGAUGAAAAGAACUUUGAAAAGAGAGUUAAACAGUACGUGAAAUUGUCAAAAGGGAAGCGUUUGACACCAGUGUUGUUUUUCUGAAAAUCAAUUAAAGAACUGUUUAUGCUAAGUUGUUUAGACUUUAUCAGCUAACUGUUUAGUUUUGAGCUUUUCUUUAAUGCACUUUUCAGUUAACAAGUCAACAUCAAUUUCUUUUGCUGUAAAAAAGCUUGAGGAAGGUGGCUUGAGAUUCGUCUUAAGUGUUUAUAGCCUCUUGCCUAUGCAGUCGGAGAGAUUGAGGUCUGCAGCGUAGAUCCUUCGGGGCUAAAUGCAUUUGUGCUAAGUUAUAGCAUUUUAUAGACAACUUGUUGACUAUGAUUUGUCUUGUAGCUUACUCGCUUAUGUUAUUUUACCUACGCUUAGGAUGUUGAAGAUGUAGCACAUCAU
This 775-nucleotide ribosomal RNA is filed under the name uncultured Neocallimastigales. Its description in RNAcentral is "partial large subunit ribosomal RNA". It matches the Rfam family "Eukaryotic large subunit ribosomal RNA", at positions 22 to 635 of the family's 3401-position model. Lineage: Eukaryota; Fungi; Neocallimastigomycota; Neocallimastigomycetes; Neocallimastigales. The record is from RNAcentral.